AUAAAGAUUAUGAAAGAGUGACAGUAGUUAUCCAUGGUUACAUUAAGAGAGCAGUUCGGUUGGUGAAAGGGCUGCAGUACAUGGAUUAAUGAAGUACCCUCUGGAGUUGCCUGCUGAAGGUGACAGUAUUUACUGUACUGCUAGGCAGAGCCGGAAGCCUACCGUUAUCCUGGCGGUGUAUAAUGAGGUACACUUAUUGCUAUGUGUACGAAUUAAGGUGGUACCACGGGAGCUUUCUCGUCCUUAGG
Molecule: non-coding RNA, 248 nt
Filed under: Acetivibrio clariflavus
Lineage: Bacteria; Bacillati; Bacillota; Clostridia; Acetivibrionales; Acetivibrionaceae
Description: Clostridium clariflavum T-box sequence
Rfam family: T-box leader
About the family: Uncharged tRNA acts as the effector for transcription antitermination of genes in the T-box leader family. T-boxes are found upstream of many aminoacyl-tRNA synthetase genes and some amino acid biosynthetic genes usually in Gram-positive bacteria. The anticodon of a specific tRNA base pairs to a specifier sequence within the T-box motif, and the NCCA acceptor tail of the tRNA base pairs to a conserved bulge in the T-box antiterminator hairpin.
Source: RNAcentral